UGGGAUGUAGCCAAGCGGCAAGGCAGCGGGUUUUGAUCCCGUGAUCGGUGGUUCGAAUCCAUCCAUCCCAG
This 71-nucleotide transfer RNA is filed under the name Candidatus Sneabacter namystus. It matches the Rfam family "tRNA". Rfam says of the family: Transfer RNA (tRNA) molecules are approximately 80 nucleotides in length. The record is from Rfam by way of RNAcentral. Lineage: Bacteria; Pseudomonadati; Pseudomonadota; Alphaproteobacteria; Rickettsiales; Rickettsiaceae.